AUUGAACGCUGGCGGAAUGCUUUACACAUGCAAGUCGAACGGUAGAGGGGGCAACCCCUUGAGAGUGGCGAACGGGUGAGUAAUAUAUCGGAACGUGCCCAGUCGUGGGGAUAACGUAGCGAAAGUUACGCUAAUACCGCAUACGAUCUAAGGAUGAAAGCGGGGGACUCGCAAGAGCCUCGCGCGAUUGGAGCGGCCGAUAUCAGAUUAGGUAGUUGGUGGGGUAAAGGCUCACCAAGCCAACGAUCUGUAGCUGGUCUGAGAGGACGACCAGCCGCACUGGAACUGAGACACGGUCCAGACUCCUACGGGAGGCAGCAGUGGGGGAAUUUUGGACAAUGGACGCAAGUCUGAUCCAGCCAUUCCGCGUGCAGGAUGAAGGCCCUCGGGUUGUAAACUGCUUUGUACGGAACGAAAGGUUUCUAUUAAUAUUAGGAGCUCAUGACGGUACCGUAAGAAUAAGCACCGGCUAACUACGUGCCAGCAGCCGCGGUAAAGUGACUAC
This 505-nucleotide ribosomal RNA is filed under the name uncultured bacterium. RNAcentral describes it as "bacterial SSU rRNA". It matches the Rfam family "Bacterial small subunit ribosomal RNA", at positions 30 to 530 of the family's 1533-position model. The record is from RNAcentral.